RNAcentral lists this ribosomal RNA (554 nucleotides) under Canis aureus (golden jackal). RNAcentral's name for it is "partial 16S ribosomal RNA". It matches the Rfam family "Bacterial large subunit ribosomal RNA", at positions 1816 to 2597 of the family's 2925-position model. Lineage: Eukaryota; Metazoa; Chordata; Mammalia; Carnivora; Canidae. The record is from RNAcentral.
CACCUCCAGCAUUUCUAGUAUUGGAGGCACUGCCUGCCCAGUGACACUUGUUUAACGGCCGCGGUAUCCUGACCGUGCAAAGGUAGCAUAAUCAUUUGUUCUCUAAAUAAGGACUUGUAUGAAUGGCCACACGAGGGUUUAACUGUCUCUUACUCCCAAUCAGUGAAAUUGACCUUCCCGUGAAGAGGCGGGAAUGCCACAAUAAGACGAGAAGACCCUAUGGAGCUUUAAUUAACUAACCCAAACUUAUGGAUACUAAAUACCUACAAGGCAUAACAUUACACCAUUAUUGUGGGUUAGCAAUUUAGGUUGGGGUGACCUCGGAAUAUAAAAAAACUCCCGAGUGAUUAAAAUUUAGACCCACAAGUCAAAAUAUAACAUCACUUAUUGAUCCAAUAAUUUUUGAUCAACGGAACAAGUUACCCUAGGGAUAACAGCGCAAUCCUAUUCAAGAGUCCAUAUCGACAAUAGGGUUUACGACCUCGAUGUUGGAUCAGGACAUCCUAAUGGUGCAGCAGCUAUUAAGGGUUCGUUUGUUCAACGAUUAAAGUCCU